GAUGAACGCUGGCGGCGUGCCUAAUACAUGCAAGUCGAGCGAACAGACGAGGAGCUUGCUCCUCUGACGUUAGCGGCGGACGGGUGAGUAACACGUGGAUAACCUACCUAUAAGACUGGGAUAACUUCGGGAAACCGGAGCUAAUACCGGAUAAUAUAUUGAACCGCAUGGUUCAAUAGUGAAAGACGGUUUUGCUGUCACUUAUAGCUGGAUCCGCGCCGCAUUAGCUAGUUGGUAAGGUAACGGCUUACCAAGGCAACGAUGCGUAGCCGACCUGAGAGGGUGAUCGGCCACACUGGAACUGAGACACGGUCCAGACUCCUACGGGAGGCAGCAGUAGGGAAUCUUCCGCAAUGGGCGAAAGCCUGACGGAGCAACGCCGCGUGAGUGAUGAAGGUCUUCGGAUCGUAAAACUCUGUUAUUAGGGAAGAACAAAUGUGUAAGUAACUAUGCACGGCUUGACGGUACCUAAUCAGAAAGCCACGGCUAACUACGUG
Molecule: ribosomal RNA, 497 nt
Filed under: uncultured bacterium
Lineage: Bacteria
Description: partial 16S ribosomal RNA
Rfam family: Bacterial small subunit ribosomal RNA
Source: RNAcentral